GUGCUUGCUUUGGCAGCACAUAAACUAAAUUGGAACAAUACAGAGAAGAUUAGCAUAGCCUCUGUGCAAAUUCAUUAAGUCUUCCAUAUUUUU
Mesocricetus auratus (golden hamster) is the source of this 93-nucleotide small nuclear RNA. NCBI's taxonomy places the organism in Eukaryota, Metazoa, Chordata, Mammalia, Rodentia, Cricetidae. The record is from Ensembl.